AUACGUAGGGUGCGAGCGUUGUCCGGAAUUACUGGGCGUAAAGAGCUCGUAGGUGGUUUGUCGCGUCGUCUGUGAAAUUCCGGGGCUUAACUCCGGGCGUGCAGGCGAUACGGGCAUAACUUGAGUACUGUAGGGGAGACUGGAAUUCCUGGUGUAGCGGUGAAAUGCGCAGAUAUCAGGAGGAACACCGGUGGCGAAGGCGGGUCCCUGGGCAGUAAAUGACGCUGAGGAGCGAAAGCAUGGGGAGCGAACAGGAUUAGAUCCCCGGGUAGUCCAUGCCGUAAACGGUGGGCGCUAGGUGUAGGGGUCUUCCACGACUUCUGUGCCGUAGCUAACGCAUUAAGCGCCCCGCCUGGGGAGUACGGCCGCAAGGCUAAAACUCAAAUGAAUUGGCGGGG
This 398-nucleotide ribosomal RNA is filed under the name uncultured bacterium. Its description in RNAcentral is "partial 16S ribosomal RNA". It matches the Rfam family "Bacterial small subunit ribosomal RNA", at positions 523 to 918 of the family's 1533-position model. The record is from RNAcentral.